UGGGGAAUAUUGGACAAUGGGCGAAAGCCUGAUCCAGCCAUGCCGCGUGUGUGAAGAAGGUCUUCGGAUUGUAAAGCACUUUAAGUUGGGAGGAAGGGCAUUAACCUAAUACGUUAGUGUUUUGACGUUACCGACAGAAUAAGCACCGGCUAACUCUGUGCCAGCAGCCGCGGUAAUACAGAGGGUGCAAGCGUUAAUCGGAAUUACUGGGCGUAAAGCGCGCGUAGGUGGUUUGUUAAGUUGGAUGUGAAAUCCCCGGGCUCAACCUGGGAACUGCAUUCAAAACUGACUGACUAGAGUAUGGUAGAGGGUGGUGGAAUUUCCUGUGUAGCGGUGAAAUGCGUAGAUAUAGGAAGGAACACCAGUGGCGAAGGCGACCACCUGGACUAAUACUGACACUAAGGUGCGAAAGCGUGGGGAGCAAACA
This 427-nucleotide ribosomal RNA is filed under the name uncultured bacterium. RNAcentral describes it as "partial 16S ribosomal RNA". It matches the Rfam family "Bacterial small subunit ribosomal RNA", at positions 355 to 774 of the family's 1533-position model. The record is from RNAcentral.